AUUUGUCUAGUAUAAAUUUGUAUUAUUGACUUCCAAUCAAAAGGUCUGAUAUUCAUCAGGACAAAUA
Molecule: transfer RNA, 67 nt
Filed under: Peltoperlopsis cebuano
Lineage: Eukaryota; Metazoa; Arthropoda; Insecta; Plecoptera; Peltoperlidae
Description: tRNA-Gly
Source: RNAcentral